GAAGCUCCCAUGGAUUGA
RNAcentral lists this small nuclear RNA (18 nucleotides) under Arabidopsis thaliana (thale cress). Its description in RNAcentral is "snRNA_12146". The record is from RNAcentral. Lineage: Eukaryota; Viridiplantae; Streptophyta; Magnoliopsida; Brassicales; Brassicaceae.